CCUACGGGUGGCUGCAGUGAGGAAUAUUGGUCAAUGGACGAGAGUCUGAACCAGCCAAGUAGCGUGAAGGAUGACUGCCCUAUGGGUUGUAAACUUCUUUUAUAUGGGAAUAAAAUGUUCCACGUGUAGGGCUUUGCAUGUACCGUAUGAAUAAGGACCGGCUAAUUCCGUGCCAGCAGCCGCGGUAAUACGGAAGGUCCGGGCGUUAUCCGGAUUUAUUGGGUUUAAAGGGAGCGUAGGCCGCAUGUCAAGCGUGCUGUGAAAUGUCCGGGCUCAACCCGGGCCUUGCAGCGCGAACUGGCGUGCUUGAGUCCGCGGAAAGCAGGCGGAAUUCGUCGUGUAGCGGUGAAAUGCUUAGAUAUGACGAAGAACCCCGAUUGCGAAGGCAGCUUGCUGCAGCGGAACUGACGCUGAUGCUCGAAAGCGCGGGUAUCGAACAGGAUUAGAUACCCUGGUAGUC
Molecule: ribosomal RNA, 460 nt
Filed under: uncultured bacterium
Lineage: Bacteria
Description: partial 16S ribosomal RNA
Rfam family: Bacterial small subunit ribosomal RNA
Source: RNAcentral